RNA transcript from Helianthus annuus (common sunflower), 621 nucleotides. RefSeq lists it as uncharacterized. The transcript is spliced from 2 exons. Lineage: Eukaryota; Viridiplantae; Streptophyta; Magnoliopsida; Asterales; Asteraceae. The record is from RefSeq and is a predicted model, not a curated record.
UUUACUCAGUUUAUUAAAAAGGAUCCCCUAAACCCUCUCGAUCGAAUCAGAACCUCUGUAAACCCUAGCUAUGGCGGCGAAGAGAUCAAGCAACGAAGGAGUGCUCUCCAGGGUUUCAUCCUCCAUAUCCGAAUCACCGAUCGUCUACAAAGGCAAGCGAGUCGCUUCCGACGCCGGUUUCGUCGCCAAAAAGCUUCUCAAAAGCACCGGCAAGGCGGCGUGGAUCGCCGGAACCACGUUUUUGAUCCUUGCGGUCCCCUUAAUCAUUGAGAUGGAACGUGAGGCUCAGUACAACGAUCUCGAGCUUCAACAGGCUAGCUUGCUCGGCACUCCUGCCGUUGCUGCUCCUCAAAAGUGAUUAUUUCAAACCCUAGUUUUUCAGGUAACCUACCCAACUAGCAAAAUUUCUGCAGGGACGACGAAAAGUAAGUUUGUUUACUUUCAAUUUAAAGACCGACCAGUAGAAAAUUUUCGUUCAUAUUACGAGUUUGUUAUUUAAGAUGUUUUCUAGGCUUAGUCCCAUAUCUUGUUUUUACCAUAUCAUUUAUCAUUUACCCUACAUGUGAUAUGACUAUAUGAUUGAAAUUUGAACAUAAAAUGGGUAUUACCUUGUUCUCCUAA